Molecule: long non-coding RNA, 620 nt
Organism: Bos taurus (domestic cattle)
Lineage: Eukaryota; Metazoa; Chordata; Mammalia; Artiodactyla; Bovidae
Source: Ensembl
GAGAAGGAAAUGGCAACCCACUCUAGGAUUCUCGCUUGGGAAAUCCCAUGCACAGAGGAGCCUCGUGGCCUACAGUCCAUUGCUCUUGCAAAAGAGCUGGACAUGACGUAAUGACUGAACAACAACAGUGUAGGUCCGGGUAGCAUGCAGUGGAUUUGGAAGCUUGAAACUACACAGAGGCUCUUGGUCAAUGCACAGCGGCUGCCCAGCUUCCGUAUGGAGCUCUAACGCACCCUAUCUUUAAUCUUGAGUUUCUGGAAUUAGGCUCCAACAUAACGGCUAUCAACCAAAGUCAACGUUUAUGUAUAAAUACCCUUCCUCCUUUAAUUCUAACCUAUUGUCCUGGUAAAUUUUGGAAAACUGAACUUCAGCAUGGCUGAGCUACUGUGAGAGGAUGUUGCGGGCUUCGUGUUCACUACAUGAAAAAAUGAAAUCCUAACUGCCUUAGCUCUGCAAAGGAAGCCUGGAAGAUGGGCCAAAUGUUUUUCCAGAUCCACAAUUGGAGACACAAAUCUGGCACACUGCUAGGACUGAAUGAUGUAACACGUAAAACUACAAGAUGCUGGGUAAAUUUAAAUGCAGAGAAAUGAUGACAAAUAUUAGUAUAUCUCUUGUAAUAC